This 863-nucleotide ribosomal RNA is filed under the name uncultured bacterium. Its description in RNAcentral is "bacterial SSU rRNA". It matches the Rfam family "Bacterial small subunit ribosomal RNA", at positions 129 to 978 of the family's 1533-position model. The record is from RNAcentral.
CCUCAAGGCUGGGGAUAACAUUUGGAAACAGAUGCUAAUACCGAAUAAAACUUAGUAUCGCAUGAUAUCAAGUUAAAAGGCGCUACGGCGUCACCUAGAGAUGGAUCCGCGGUGCAUUAGUUAGUUGGUGGGGUAAAGGCUUACCAAGACGAUGAUGCAUAGCCGAGUUGAGAGACUGAUCGGCCACAUUGGGACUGAGACACGGCCCAAACUCCUACGGGAGGCUGCAGUAGGGAAUCUUCCACAAUGGGCGCAAGCCUGAUGGAGCAACGCCGCGUGUGUGAUGAAGGCUUUCGGGUCGUAAAGCACUGUUGUAUGGGAAGAAAUGCUAAAAUAGGGAAUGAUUUUAGUUUGACGGUACCAUACCAGAAAGGGACGGCUAAAUACGUGCCCAGCAGCCGCGGUAAUACGUAUGUCCCGAGCGUUAUCCGGAUUUAUUGGGCGUAAAGCGAGCGCAGACGGUUGAUUAAGUCUGAUGUGAAAGCCCGGAGCUCAACUCCGGAAUGGCAUGGGAAACUGGUUAACUUGAGUGUUGUAGAGGUAAGUGGAACUCCAUGUGUAGCGGUGGAAUGCGUAGAUAUAUGGAAGAACACCAGUGGCGAAGGCGGCUUACUGGACAACAACUGACGUUGAGGCUCGAAAGUGUGGGUAGCAAACAGGAUUAGAUACCCUGGUAGUCCACACCGUAAACGAUGAAUACUAGGUGUUAGGAGGUUUCCGCCUCUUAGUGCCGAAGCUAACGCAUUAAGUAUUCCGCCUGGGGAGUACGACCGCAAGGUUGAAACUCAAAGGAAUUGACGGGGACCCGCACAAGCGGUGGAGCAUGUGGUUUAAUUCGAAGCAACGCGAAGAACCUUACCAGG